AAUUAAGACAUGGUUGCUGUCCUUCGGAAGUUCAAAUGAGGGUGACUUUCCAGAAGUAAUGUCUAAUGGACAGCAUAUAUAAAAUUAAAGCCUAGCUGUGAGAUGGAUUCAGAGUGCUGUCUCCUGCCUUAUAAGGUGUCGCAACUGGAGCAAAGCUGGUCCCUGUUGUCCCUCUCUGUGGAGGGUCCUGCAGCCAGAGGCGUCAAGACUAGGUUUGAGGCUCAGUCUGGCUACUGGACAUAAUUCAAUUUUUAAAUACUCCAUGGCUGGCUCAAUGAGACUAGCUUCGGGAACUGUCUGGAAAUGUAAAGGAACUUGCUGCCGCACUGUGGUAUAUUCGGUUCUUGCACGCAAUCUGUUAAA
Long non-coding RNA from Choloepus didactylus (southern two-toed sloth), 363 nucleotides. RefSeq lists it as uncharacterized. NCBI's taxonomy places the organism in Eukaryota, Metazoa, Chordata, Mammalia, Pilosa, Megalonychidae. The record is from RefSeq and is a predicted model, not a curated record. The transcript has 3 exons.